This is a non-coding RNA of Camellia sinensis, 447 nucleotides long. Lineage: Eukaryota; Viridiplantae; Streptophyta; Magnoliopsida; Ericales; Theaceae. The record is from RefSeq and is a predicted model, not a curated record.
UUCAAACUCUCUCACACCCAAACUGUCUCACCACCAAACCUCACACGAAAUCACUUGACCGUAGCCCACCGUACGGAGGACGUCGACAUGGCCACUCACAGCCGAAAAUCACCAUCGCCACAGCCGCAGAUCAUAGAUGGUUUGGGUACAAAAAUGAAUGAGGAAGGGAUUGCUUACUACAACAACAUCAUUAAUGCUCUUCUCGAAAGGGGCAUCCAGCCAUUUGUAACUUUAUACCACUGGGAUCUUCCAUUAAAUCUUCAUGAGUCAAUGAGAGGGUGGUUGAAUAAGCAAGUUGUGUAAGUACUGUCCUUGUUUUUCAUCAAGUAAUUGUCUUGUUUCCAAACAUCUAUAUAUUAACUAAAUAAUUUUUCCUCUAUUGAUGCCAAUUGAAUAUUUGCCCUUGGAAGAUGUGAACAUACAUUGACAGAGCCAUAUUUGGUUGCG